Molecule: ribosomal RNA, 499 nt
Filed under: uncultured bacterium
Lineage: Bacteria
Description: partial 16S ribosomal RNA
Rfam family: Bacterial small subunit ribosomal RNA
Source: RNAcentral
GACGAACGCUGGCGGCGUGCCUAAUACAUGCAAGUCGAGCGAAGUUUUUCUGGUGCUUGCACUAGAAAAACUUAGCGGCGAACGGGUGAGUAACACGUAAAGAACCUGCCUCAUAGACUGGGACAACUAUUGGAAACGAUAGCUAAUACCGGAUAACAGUAUUUCUCGCAUGAGAGAUAUUUAAAAGUUGGUUAUGCUAACACUAUGAGAUGGCUUUGCGGUGCAUUAGCUAGUUGGUGGGGUAAAGGCCCACCAAGGCGACGAUGCAUAGCCGACCUGAGAGGGUGAUCGGCCACACUGGGACUGAGACACGGCCCAGACUCCUACGGGUGGCAGCAGUAGGGAAUCGUCAGCAAUGGGCGAAAGCCUGACGGAGCAACGCCGCGUGAGUGAAGAAGGAUUUCGGUUCGUAAAGCUCUGUUGUUAGGGAAGAAUGGAUAUGUAGUAACUAUACAUGUAAGAGACGGUACCUAAACAGAAAGCCACGGCUAACUACGUG